AGUGAACGCUGGCGGUAGGCCUAACACAUGCAAGUCGAACGGCAGCACAGUAAGAGCUUGCUCUUACGGGUGGCGAGUGGCGGACGGGUGAGGAAUACAUCGGAAUCUACUUUUUCGUGGGGGAUAACGUAGGGAAACUUACGCUAAUACCGCAUACGACCUACGGGUGAAAGCGGGGGAUCUUCGGACCUUGCGCGAUUGAAUGCGCCGAUGUCGGAUUAGCUAGUUGGCGGGGUAAAGGCCCACCAAGGCGACGAUCCGUAGCUGGUCUGAGAGGAUGAUCAGCCACACUGGAACUGAGACACGGUCCAGACGCCUACGGGAGGCAGCAGUGGGGAAUAUUGGACAAAGGGCGCAAGCCUGAUCCAGCCAUACCGCGUGGGUGAAGAAGGCCUUCGGGUUGUAAAGCCCUUUUGUUGGGAAAGAAAAGCAGCAGGUUAAUACCCCGCUGUUCUGACGGUACCCAAAGAAUAAGCACCGGCUAACUUCGUG
RNAcentral lists this ribosomal RNA (492 nucleotides) under uncultured bacterium. RNAcentral's name for it is "partial 16S ribosomal RNA". It matches the Rfam family "Bacterial small subunit ribosomal RNA", at positions 29 to 507 of the family's 1533-position model. The record is from RNAcentral.